UAGGGAAUCUUCCGCAAUGGACGCAAGUCUGACGGAGCAACGCCGCGUGAGUGAAGAAGGAUUUCGGUUCGUAAAACUCUGUUGUUAGAGAAGAACAGCGCAUAGAGUAACUGUUAUGCGUGUGACGGUAUCUAACCAGAAAGCCACGGCUAACUACGUGCCAGCAGCCGCGGUAAUACGUAGGUGGCAAGCGUUGUCCGGAUUUAUUGGGCGUAAAGCGAGCGCAGGCGGUCAAUUAAGUCUGAUGUGAAAGCCCCCGGCUCAACCGGGGAGGGUCAUUGGAAACUGGUUGACUUGAGUGCAGAAGAGGAGAGUGGAAUUCCAUGUGUGGCGGUGAAAUGCGUAGAUAUAUGGAGGAACACCAGUGGCGAAGGCGACUCUCUGGUCUGUAACUGACGCUGAGGUUCGAAAGCGUGGGUAGCAAACAGG
This 429-nucleotide ribosomal RNA is filed under the name Bacteroidota bacterium. RNAcentral describes it as "Bacteroidetes bacterium partial 16S ribosomal RNA". It matches the Rfam family "Bacterial small subunit ribosomal RNA", at positions 355 to 776 of the family's 1533-position model. The record is from RNAcentral. Lineage: Bacteria; Pseudomonadati; Bacteroidota.